GUCUAUGGCCAUGCCACUCUGAACGUGCCCGAUCUCGUCUGAUCUCGGAAGCUAAGCAGGGUCGGGCCCGGUUAGUACUUGGAUGGGAGACCACCUAGGAAGACCAGGUGCUGUAGGUG
This 119-nucleotide ribosomal RNA is filed under the name Pteropus alecto (black flying fox). The record is from RNAcentral. Lineage: Eukaryota; Metazoa; Chordata; Mammalia; Chiroptera; Pteropodidae.